RNAcentral lists this ribosomal RNA (239 nucleotides) under Clostridioides difficile. RNAcentral's name for it is "partial 16S ribosomal RNA". It matches the Rfam family "Bacterial small subunit ribosomal RNA", at positions 598 to 841 of the family's 1533-position model. Lineage: Bacteria; Bacillati; Bacillota; Clostridia; Peptostreptococcales; Peptostreptococcaceae. The record is from RNAcentral.
AAGGCUACGGCUCAACCGUAGUAAGCUCUUGAAACUGGGAGACUUGAGUGCAGGAGAGGAGAGUGGAAUUCCUAGUGUAGCGGUGAAAUGCGUAGAUAUUAGGAGGAACACCAGUUGCGAAGGCGGCCCUCUGGACUGUAACUGACGCUGAGGCACGAAAGCGUGGGGAGCAAACAGGAUUAGAUACCCUGGUAGUCCACGCUGUAAACGAUGAGUACUAGGUGUCGGGGGUUACCCCC